This 459-nucleotide long non-coding RNA is filed under the name Homo sapiens (human). Its description in RNAcentral is "non-protein coding lnc-C2orf73-3:2". The record is from RNAcentral. Lineage: Eukaryota; Metazoa; Chordata; Mammalia; Primates; Hominidae.
AAGAUGGCACCGAAAGUGAAGAAGGAAGCUCCUGGCCCGCCUAAAGCUGAAGCCAAAGCAAAGGCUUUAAAGGCCAAGAAGGUAGUGUUGAAAGGUGUCCACGGCCACAAAAAAAAGAAGAUCCGCAUGUCACCCACCUUCCAGCGGCCCAAGACACUGAGACUCUGGAGGCCGCCCAGAUAUCCUCGGAAGACCACCCCCAGGAGAAACAAGCUUGACCACUAUGCUAUCAUCAAGUUUCCUCUGACCACUGAGUUUGCCAUGAAGAAGAUAAAAGACAACAACACCCUUGUGUUCACUGUGGAUGUUAAAGCCAACAAGCACCAGAUCAAACAGGCUGUGAAGAAGCUCUGUGACAUUGAUGGGGCCAAGGUCAACACCCUGAUGGAGAGAUGAAGGCAUAUGUUCCACUGGCUCCUGAUUAUGAUGCUUUGGAUGUUGCCAACAAAAUUGGGAUCA